UGGGGAAUAUUGCACAAUGGGCGCAAGCCUGAUGCAGCCAUGCCGCGUGUAUGAAGAAGGCCUUCGGGUUGUAAAGUACUUUCAGCGGGGAGGAAGGUGUUGUGGUUAAUAACCUCAGCAAUUGACGUUACCCGCAGAAGAAGCACCGGCUAACUCCGUGCCAGCAGCCGCGGUAAUACGGAGGGUGCAAGCGUUAAUCGGAAUUACUGGGCGUAAAGCGCACGCAGGCGGUUUGUCAAGUCGGAUGUGAAAUCCCCGGGCUCAACCCGGGAACUGCAUCCGAAACUGGCAGGCUUGAGUCUUGUAGAGGGGGGUAGAAUUCCAGGUGUAGCGGUGAAAUGCGUAGAGAUCUGGAGGAAUACCGGUGGCGAAGGCGGCCCCCUGGACAAAGACUGACGCUCAGGUGCGAAAGCGUGGGGAGCAAACA
Molecule: ribosomal RNA, 427 nt
Filed under: uncultured bacterium
Lineage: Bacteria
Description: partial 16S ribosomal RNA
Rfam family: Bacterial small subunit ribosomal RNA
Source: RNAcentral